GAUGAAGAACGUAGUGAAAUGCGAUAAUUAAUGUGAAUUGCAGAAUUCAGUGAAUCAUCGAGUCUUUGAACGCACAUUGCGCCCCCUGGUAUUCCGGGGGGCAUGCCUGUCCGAGCGUCAUUGCUGCCCUCAAGCACGGCUUGUGUGUUGGGCUUCCGUCCCUGGCAACGGGGACGGGCCCAAAAGGCAGUGGCGGCACCAUGUCUGGUCCUCGAGCGUAUGGGGCUUUGUCACCCGCUCCCGUAGGUCCAGCUGGCAGCUAGCCUCGCAACCAAUCUUUUUAACCAGGUUGACCUCGGAUCAGGUAGGACUACCCGCUGAACUUAAGCAUAUCAAUAAGCGGAGGA
Molecule: unclassified non-coding RNA, 347 nt
Filed under: soil metagenome
Description: partial contains 5.8S ribosomal RNA, internal transcribed spacer 2, and large subunit ribosomal RNA
Rfam family: 5.8S ribosomal RNA (bases 1-120)
Source: RNAcentral